RNAcentral lists this ribosomal RNA (210 nucleotides) under uncultured bacterium. Its description in RNAcentral is "partial 16S ribosomal RNA". It matches the Rfam family "Bacterial small subunit ribosomal RNA", at positions 1292 to 1500 of the family's 1533-position model. The record is from RNAcentral.
UUCGGAUUGUAGUCUGCAACCCGACUACAUGAAGCCGGAAUCGCUAGUAAUCGCGAAUCAGAAUGUCGCGGUGAAUACGUUCCCGGGUCUUGUACACACCGCCCGUCACACCAUGGGAGCCGGAAAUGCCCGAAGUCAGUGGCCCAACCUUAAAGGAGGGAGCUGCCGAAGGUGGAGCUGGUAACUGGGGUGAAGUCGUAACAAGGUAGC